This 484-nucleotide ribosomal RNA is filed under the name uncultured bacterium. RNAcentral's name for it is "bacterial SSU rRNA". It matches the Rfam family "Bacterial small subunit ribosomal RNA", at positions 19 to 518 of the family's 1533-position model. The record is from RNAcentral.
CUGGCUCAGGAUGAACGCUAGCGGCGUGCCUAAUACAUGCAAGUCGAACGGGUUAGAGACUCGGUUUUAACCUAGUGGCGGACGGGUGAGUAACGCGUGAGCAACCUGACUCAAAGAGGGGGACAACAGCUGGAAACGGCUGCUAAUACCGCAUAAGACCACGGAGCGGCAUCGCUCAGGGGUCAAAGAUUUAUCGCUUUGGAGAGGGGCUCGCGUCCCAUUAGAUAGUUGGUGAGGUAACGGCCCACCAAGUCAACGAUGGGUAGCCGAGCUGAGAGGCUGAUCGGCCACACUGGAACUGAGACACGGUCCAGACUCCUACGGGAGGCAGCAGUAGGGAAUAUUGGGCAAGUGGGCGCAAGCCUGACCCAGCAACGCCGCGUGAGGGAAGAAGGUUUUCGGAUUGUAAACCUCUGUCCUAUGUGACGAAGGAAGUGACGGUAGCAUAGGAGGAAGCCCCGGCUAACUACGUGCCAGCCGCUGC